UGGGGAAUAUUGGACAAUGGGCGCAAGCCUGAUCCAGCAAUGCCGCGUGUGUGAAGAAGGCCUUCGGGUUGUAAAGCACUUUUAUCAGGAGCGAAACGCUGUCGGCUAAUACCCGGCGGAACUGACGGUACCUGAGGAAUAAGCACCGGCUAACUUCGUGCCAGCAGCCGCGGUAAUACGAAGGGUGCAAGCGUUAAUCGGAAUUACUGGGCGUAAAGCGUGCGUAGGCGGUUUCUUAAGUCUGCUGUGAAAUCCCCGGGCUCAACCUGGGAAUGGCAGUGGAUACUGGGAGGCUAGAGUGUGUCAGAGGGUGGUGGAAUUCCCGGUGUAGCGGUGAAAUGCGUAGAGAUCGGGAGGAACAUCAGUGGCGAAGGCGGCCACCUGGGACAACACUGACGCUGAGGCACGAAAGCGUGGGGGAGCAAACAGGAUUAGGAUACCCUGGUAGUCCACGCCCUAAACGAUGCGAACUGGAUGUUGGUCUCAACUCGGAGAUCAGUGUCGAAGCUAACGCGUUAAGUUCGCCG
RNAcentral lists this ribosomal RNA (527 nucleotides) under uncultured bacterium. Its description in RNAcentral is "partial 16S ribosomal RNA". It matches the Rfam family "Bacterial small subunit ribosomal RNA", at positions 355 to 871 of the family's 1533-position model. The record is from RNAcentral.